Molecule: ribosomal RNA, 227 nt
Filed under: uncultured Haemophilus sp.
Lineage: Bacteria; Pseudomonadati; Pseudomonadota; Gammaproteobacteria; Pasteurellales; Pasteurellaceae
Description: partial 16S ribosomal RNA
Rfam family: Bacterial small subunit ribosomal RNA
Source: RNAcentral
AGUAAUGCUUGGGAAUCUGGCUUAUGGAGGGGGAUAACUACGGGAAACUGUAGCUAAUACCGCGUAGUAUCGGAAGAUGAAAGUGUGGGACCUUCGGGCCACAUGCCAUAGGAUGAGCCCAAGUGGGAUUAGGUAGUUGGUGAGGUAAAGGCCUACCAAGCCUGCGAUCUCUAGCUGGUCUGAGAGGAUGGCCAGCCACACUGGAACUGAGACACGGUCCAGACUCC